GCCCCGUAAUCGGAAUGAGUACACUUUAAAUCCUUUAACAAGGAUCCAUUGGAGGGCAAGUCUGGUGCCAGCAGCCGCGGUAAUUCCAGCUCCAAUAGCGUAUAUUAAAGUUGUUGCGGUUAAAAAGCUCGUAGUUGGUUCUGCGUGCCGCGCUGUCGGUUCGCCGCCUGUCGGUGUAACUGGCAUGUCGCGGCAUGUCCUGUCGGUGGUGAACGGAGUCCACAAUGCUACAUAGGCUUUAUAGCCGAUGUUAGCGUCGUGUGUACUUCCGUUGGCCGAUCUCUCCUACUUCGGUGCUCUUAAACGAGUGUCGAGGUAGGCCGACACGUUCACUUUGAACAAAUUAGAGUGCUUAAAGCAGGCUGAAAUAUCUGCCUGAAUAGUGGUGCAUGGAAUGAUAAAACAGGACCUCGGUUCUAUUUUGUUGGUUUUAGGAAUAUGAGGUAAUGAUCAAUGUGGACUGGCGGGGGCAUUCGUAUUGCGACGUUAGAGGUGAAAUUCUUGGAUCGUCGCAAGACGCACUAGAGCGAAAGCAUUUGCCAAGUAUGUCUUAAUUGAUCAAGAACGAAAGUUAGAGGUUCGAAGGCGAUCAGAUACCGCCCUAGUUCUAACCAUAAACGAUGCCAGCCAGCGAUCCGCCGAUGUUCCUUUAAUGACUCGGCGGGGAGCUUCCACCCGGGAAACCAAAGCUUUUGGGUUCCGGGGGAAGUAUGGUUGCAAAGCUGAAACUUAAAGGA
RNAcentral lists this ribosomal RNA (737 nucleotides) under Triatoma infestans. RNAcentral's name for it is "SSU rRNA". It matches the Rfam family "Eukaryotic small subunit ribosomal RNA", at positions 500 to 1151 of the family's 1831-position model. The record is from RNAcentral. RNAcentral also lists the same sequence under 2 other names. Lineage: Eukaryota; Metazoa; Arthropoda; Insecta; Hemiptera; Reduviidae.